RNAcentral lists this microRNA (21 nucleotides) under Corchorus capsularis. RNAcentral describes it as "sRNA CCACVL1_13751". Lineage: Eukaryota; Viridiplantae; Streptophyta; Magnoliopsida; Malvales; Malvaceae. The record is from RNAcentral.
GGCAAGUCAUCUCGGGCUAUA